This 497-nucleotide ribosomal RNA is filed under the name uncultured bacterium. RNAcentral describes it as "partial 16S ribosomal RNA". It matches the Rfam family "Bacterial small subunit ribosomal RNA", at positions 28 to 507 of the family's 1533-position model. The record is from RNAcentral.
GAUGAACGCUGGCGGCGUGCCUAAUACAUGCAAGUCGAGCGAACAGACGAGAAGCUUGCUUCUCUGAUGUUAGCGGCGGACGGGUGAGUAACACGUGGAUAACCUACCUAUAAGACUGGGAUAACUUCGGGAAACCGGUGCUAAUACCGGAUAAUAUUUUGAACCGCAUGGUUCAAAAGUGAAAGACGGUCUUGCUGUCACUUAUAGAUGUAUCCGCGCUGCAUUAGCUAGUUGGUACGGUAACGGCUUCCGAAGGCAACGAUGCAUAGCCGACCUGACAGGGUGAUCGGCCCCACUGGAGCCGAGACACGGUCCAGGCUCCUACGGGAGGCAGCAAUAGGGAAGGGUCGGCAAAGGGCGGAAGCCUGACGGAGCAACGGCGCGUGAGUGAAGAAGGGCUUCGGGUCGGAAAACUCUGUUAUUAGGGAAAAACAUAUUUGGAAGGAACUGAGCACAUCGUGACGGUACCUGAUCAAGAAGCCACGGCUAACUACGUG